UGCAGUCGAGUGCGCGGUUGUAGCAAUACAACUGGCGCACGGCGCACGGGUGCGUAACACGUGGGUAACCUGCCCUUUGGUGGGGAAUAACCCCGGGAAACCGGGGCUAAUUCCGCAUAAAUCCGCAAGGAUGAAACCCAAGGCGCCGAAGAGGGCCCGCGCACGAUUACUAGUUGGAGGUAACGGCCUACCGGCAAUGAUCGUUACUGGUCUGAAGGAUGGCCAGCCACCUGGAACUGAACACGGUCCAACUCCUACGGGAGGCAGCAGUGGGGAAUCUUGCGCAAUGGGGAAAGCCUGACCACGACGCCGCGUGGGGAUGAAGCUUCUCGGAGUGUAAACCCCUUUCACUGGACGAAUACCUCCAAGAGGGGUGACGGUACCGUAAAAAGCCCCGGCUAACUACUGCCACAGCCGCGGUAAGACGUAGGGGCCAGCGUUGUUCGGAAUUACUGGGUGUAAAGGGUUCGUAGGCGGUGUGGCAAGUCGGGAGUGAAAUUUCUGGGCUUAACUCAAACUGCUUCCAAACUGCUGUGCUUGAUGUGGGAGAGGCGCGUGGAAUUGCAGGUGUACGGUGAAAUGCGUAUAUAUCUGCGAACACCCGUGGCGAAAGCGGCGCGCUGGACCACUACUGACGCUGAGGAACAAAGCUAGGGAGCAAACAGAUUAGAUACCCUGGUAUCCUACCCUAAACAUCGACUUGGGGUGCCCCCGUUCGGGUGUCUCCCGGAGCUAACGCGUUA
Molecule: ribosomal RNA, 743 nt
Filed under: uncultured bacterium
Lineage: Bacteria
Description: bacterial SSU rRNA
Rfam family: Bacterial small subunit ribosomal RNA
Source: RNAcentral